RNAcentral lists this long non-coding RNA (440 nucleotides) under Homo sapiens (human). RNAcentral describes it as "non-protein coding LINC01214:3". The record is from RNAcentral. Lineage: Eukaryota; Metazoa; Chordata; Mammalia; Primates; Hominidae.
UGUUCAAACCAUAUGUAAUUGUAAUUGAAUGGAAGUUAAACAUCUGGAAACCGUUAGGAUUGAAUAGCAAUGAAAGGCAGGAAGCACAAGACUAUGGAAAGUGAUUUUGAACAACCAGGUGGUCCCAAAGAUAACCAAUUGUUUAGAGCCUAGAGGAAAGGGAAGAACCCACAUCUACCAUGAAUGAAUAAAUGGCGACCUGGAAGCAUACUUCUGGUAGCAAUGGGGACACGGGUCAAAGGGGACUUGAGGUUAUCAGCUUUCAGAAUGAAGACACAUAAUCCCUAUUAGAGUGGAAGACUUAAAAUCGAGUUUGAGACCCACCUUCUGAAACUGCAGGCUCUUGGGAGCCUGAUUUCCGGUGAAGAGUGUUGCUGCUUUGCAUUUUUCACACUUGAACACAGUGAAGAAGAUGAACAUUAAUUAGGAUUAUAGUGCCA